This 143-nucleotide ribosomal RNA is filed under the name Corchorus capsularis. RNAcentral's name for it is "rRNA 5_8S_rRNA". The stretch from base 19 to 143 matches the Rfam family "5.8S ribosomal RNA", at positions 25 to 154 of the family's 154-position model. From Rfam's summary of the family: 5.8S ribosomal RNA (5.8S rRNA) is a component of the large subunit of the eukaryotic ribosome. The record is from Rfam by way of RNAcentral. Lineage: Eukaryota; Viridiplantae; Streptophyta; Magnoliopsida; Malvales; Malvaceae.
AAUUCAAAACUAUUCCCUCUCUCGCAUCGAUGAAGAACGUAGCGAAAUGCGAUACCUGGCGUGAAUUGCAGUGAACCAUCCAGUCUUUGAAUGCAAGUUGCGCCCCAAGCCAUUAGGCCGCAGACACGUCUACCUGGGUGUCA